UCGACGGUAGCGCAGAGAGCUUGCUCUCGGGUGACGAGUGGCGGACGGGUGAGUAAUGUCUGGGAAACUGCGUGAUGGAGGGGGAUAACUACUGGAAACGGUAGCUAAUACCGCAUAACGUCGCAAGACCAAAGAGGGGGACCUUCGGGCCUCUUGCCAUCAGAUGUGCCCAGAUGGGAUUAGCUAGUAGGUGGGGUAACGGCUCACCUAGGCGACGAUCCCUAGCUGGUCUGAGAGGAUGACCAGCCACUCUGGAACUGAGACACGGUCCAGACUCCUACGGGAGGCAGCAGUGGGGAAUAUUGCACAAUGGGCGCAAGCCUGAUGCAGCCAUGCCGCGUGUAUGAGGAAGGCCUUCGGGUUGUAAAGUACUUUCAGCGGGGAGGAAGGUGUUGUGGUUAAUAACCGCAGCAAUUGACGUUACCCGCAGAAGAAGCACCGGCUAACUCCGUGCCAGCAGCCGCGGUAAUACGGAGGGUGCAGGCGUUAAUCGGAAUUACUGGGCGUAAAGCGCACGCAGGCGGUCUGUCAAGUCGGAUGUGAAAUCCCCGGGCUCAACCUGGGAACUGCAUUCGAAACUGGCA
RNAcentral lists this ribosomal RNA (584 nucleotides) under Klebsiella oxytoca. RNAcentral's name for it is "bacterial SSU rRNA". It matches the Rfam family "Bacterial small subunit ribosomal RNA", at positions 62 to 638 of the family's 1533-position model. The record is from RNAcentral. Lineage: Bacteria; Pseudomonadati; Pseudomonadota; Gammaproteobacteria; Enterobacterales; Enterobacteriaceae.